Molecule: ribosomal RNA, 332 nt
Filed under: uncultured eukaryote
Lineage: Eukaryota
Description: partial 18S ribosomal RNA
Rfam family: Eukaryotic small subunit ribosomal RNA
Source: RNAcentral
CCCUUAGAUGUUCUGGGCUGCACACGUGCUACACUGGCAGGUUCAGCGAGCUUCAUGCCCUGUUCUGAAAGGAAUGGGAAAUCUUUUCAAAACCUGCCGUGCUUGGGAUAGAUGUUUGCAAUUAUUCAUCUUCAACGAGGAUUGCCUUGUAAGCGCACGUCAUCAGCGUGCAUUGAAUACGACCCUGUAUUCUGUACACACCGCCCGUCGCUCCUACCGAUUGAAGUUUUCGGUGAGUUGACAGGAGGAUUUUUUUGAAACUGGUUCGCCAGUGGAUUUUAGAUCCAAAUGCCAACGAAUCGAUGGCUUUAGAGGAAGGAGAAGUCGUAACA